AUAGCCUGCCGUCCUGGUGAACACAAUCGAGCAAGGCAGUGAAGCAAAAAUCAUUAGGCGGCUGGGCGCAGACACAUCACGCUGCAGUUUGGGUUCCAAGGUGCUUGUCCCCGAUUUUCACCUGCCUUGCCAAAAAUGAUUGAUUACGCCGGGCCGACCGGGUGUCCGGCAAUACCCAACAAAUGACUUUGGCCCCUAACAGCAGGCCUUGGCCAGAUAGAAAUCAAUAUUUCACCAUUAAAAUCUAUCAAAGAAGAGUUAAGGCACCAUCUGUCCCCGCCGUCUCUCUAUGGUGUGUGAACAUUAAAUCCGACACUUGUGCUCCAUGGGUAAUCAAUAUAUAGUGGCUCACAGAUCAUUUGUGGUUCCCUUUUAGCAGUGAUGGAUGUCUGGAAUCGUUGUGAUUCAUUUUGUCAGACCAUUAAACAAGAUUCUGUCCAGUUCCUUCCUGAUUUCA
Molecule: long non-coding RNA, 457 nt
Organism: Trichechus manatus latirostris (Florida manatee)
Lineage: Eukaryota; Metazoa; Chordata; Mammalia; Sirenia; Trichechidae
Exons: 2
Source: RefSeq, a predicted model, not a curated record